UGCAUAGCCAUGGCUAAGCAAGUGGAUCAGGAAACCUAGGACACAACUCCGAUUUGAGGAUUGAGCAGAACAAUGUGUGAGGGAGAAGUAUAUUCUGUUUCUAUUGGGCUGGCGAUGGAUAUCUAGAUUCAGCUGAGCUCCACAGACCGACCUAGCUAACUGUCCAAGGUCCAAAACCUAAUCAGUUGGUCCGACUCCGACGUCGUUUUUCCACAGGUGCA
Molecule: unclassified non-coding RNA, 221 nt
Filed under: Hevea brasiliensis (rubber tree)
Lineage: Eukaryota; Viridiplantae; Streptophyta; Magnoliopsida; Malpighiales; Euphorbiaceae
Source: RNAcentral